This 73-nucleotide transfer RNA is filed under the name Paramuricea clavata. It matches the Rfam family "tRNA". Rfam says of the family: Transfer RNA (tRNA) molecules are approximately 80 nucleotides in length. Their secondary structure includes four short double-helical elements and three loops (D, anti-codon, and T loops). Lineage: Eukaryota; Metazoa; Cnidaria; Anthozoa; Malacalcyonacea; Plexauridae. The record is from Rfam by way of RNAcentral.
AACCGCGUAGCUCAGUUGGCAGAGCAUUGGGCUAGUAUUCCAAAGGUCGUAGGUUCGAUUCCCACUGUGGUCA